Megalobrama amblycephala (Wuchang bream) is the source of this 771-nucleotide long non-coding RNA. RefSeq lists it as uncharacterized. The record is from RefSeq and is a predicted model, not a curated record. The transcript is spliced from 3 exons. Lineage: Eukaryota; Metazoa; Chordata; Actinopteri; Cypriniformes; Xenocyprididae.
GUUUGUUUCUUUGAAGAGCGCAGUUGACAUGCAGUGGAAGUAUUAUUGCUGAGUUCAACCGGAUCACAAGCAAAAACCUCAAGCAAGAAUUCUUCUCAGCCCUUGAUAAUCAUACUUCUCGUUUUCUGGAAAUUUUCGAAUCAAAGAAAGGCAUGGAAAAAAUGGAAAAAAGCUCUUGGAGCUUCUAAUGCAAAUGAAGUCUGCAAACAUCACUGAUGUCACUGCUCGACGGACAGCAGUUCUCCGUGGUCUUGCUGUCCUUCUUGGGGAAGACACUACAGACUUCUUCAAAACAUGCUUUGUAAGUAUUCUUCUAAUUUAAUAUCUGUAAAAAGUGCUACAAGAAAGAUGUCCCAAUUUCUGUGUCAGCGCUACGUUUACUUAAGAGAUCUUAUAUAAAGUACAUAGAAGACAUAACAUUUGAUCAAAUAAAUCUUAAAAUGUGGAUGAAACGGUUUUCUAACUAUAAAAAUCUCAUAUAGAAUAGUGUCUUGAAUUUUUCCAAUUCAAUUUCAAUCCAUCUACUCAGCACAAAGAGGUCUUUAUAUAUAGCCAUUCCUUACCUAUGUCCCGUGACAGUUUUAGCAGCAUCCCUUCUCCACCCUAUCGCCUCACUCUCUGCUGGUAUAGACAGUUUCAGCAGUAACAAAAACAAACGCCUUUCGAUGACCAAUAAUUAGCGUUAAAUAAGUUAAACAUUAAAAGAAUAGGGAAAGGAUCUAAUUUUGUUACAAACCUGUAUAAAUUUCUUUCUGAUGAACACGAAGGAAG